GACGAACGCUGGCGGCGUGCUUAACACAUGCAAGUCGAACGGAAAGGCCCUGCUUUUGUGGGGUGCUCGAGUGGCGAACGGGUGAGUAACACGUGAGUAACCUGCCCUUGACUUUGGGAUAACUUCAGGAAACUGGGGCUAAUACCGGAUAGGAGCUCCUGCUGCAUGGUGGGGGUUGGAAAGUUUCGGCGGUUGGGGAUGGACUCGCGGCUUAUCAGCUUGUUGGUGGGGUAGUGGCUUACCAAGGCUUUGACGGGUAGCCGGCCUGAGAGGGUGACCGGCCACAUUGGGACUGAGAUACGGCCCAGACGCCUACGGGAGGCAGCAGUGGGGAAUAUUGCAGAAUGGGCGGAAGCCUGAUGCAGAAACGCCGCGUGCGGGAUGACGGCCUUCGGGUUGUAAACCGCUUUCGCCUGUGACGAAGCGUGAGUGACGGUAAUGGGUAAAGAAGCACCGGCUAACUACGUG
Molecule: ribosomal RNA, 468 nt
Filed under: uncultured bacterium
Lineage: Bacteria
Description: partial 16S ribosomal RNA
Rfam family: Bacterial small subunit ribosomal RNA
Source: RNAcentral